AAUGUUAGAUAGCCAUGCAUGUCUAAGUAUAAAUGAUAUACCGUGGACUGCCAAUGGCUCAUUAAAACCAUUAUAGUUUAUUUGGUAAUCGAAAUUACAUGGAUAACCGUGGUAUUUCUAGAGCUAAUACGUGCUGUAAAGCCCGACUUUUUGAAGGGCCGAAUUUAUUACAUAACAGAUCAAUAUUCCUCGUGUCUAUUGCGGUGAAUCCUUCUAACUAAUCGAAUCGCAUGGGCUUCUGCCGCGACAAACCAUUCAAGUUUCUGCCCCAACUACUUUCGAUGGUACUGUAUUGGACUACCUUGGGUUUUACUGGUAACAGAGGAUUAGGGUUCCAUUCCGGAGAGGGAGCCUGAGAAACGGCUACCACAUCUAAGGAAGGCAGCAGGCGCGUAAAUUACCCAAUUCUAAUUCCUAGAGGUAGUGACCUCAAAUAACGGGUCGGGACUAUGUCCCGGGACUGCAAUGAUAUGAAUUUACACCCCUUUUUGUGUAACCAU
This 500-nucleotide ribosomal RNA is filed under the name uncultured eukaryote. Its description in RNAcentral is "SSU rRNA". It matches the Rfam family "Eukaryotic small subunit ribosomal RNA", at positions 35 to 548 of the family's 1831-position model. The record is from RNAcentral.